AAACUGCGAAAAGUAGUGUGAAUUGCAGAUACUCGUGAAUCAUCGAAUCCUCGAACGCACAUUGCACUUCCAGGACUUCCCUGGGAGUAUGCCUGCUUCAGUAUCAGUGUUCAUCUCAAGCCAGUCUGGCUUGGAAUUGGGCUUUUCACAGGCUGCGAUUUAUCAAAGCAUGUGAGGCUUCAAAAUCAGCUAAAAGAGUCAGCCUUGACUGAUGCAACAGAAGCUGGAUAGUGCCGAAUUUUGUUGGCAUUUUUGAAAGCUGAAUAUGUUGUGAAGGCUUGUCUUCUUUACUUUUAUGGCUUGGCGAUUGCGAAGCCAUCUGGGCUUACAAACCCACCCAAAUACUUGAUCUGAAAUCAGGCAAGAUGACCCCCUGAACUUAA
This 383-nucleotide unclassified non-coding RNA is filed under the name uncultured Eurotiales. RNAcentral's name for it is "sequence contains ITS1". The stretch from base 1 to 106 matches the Rfam family "5.8S ribosomal RNA", at positions 50 to 154 of the family's 154-position model. Lineage: Eukaryota; Fungi; Ascomycota; Eurotiomycetes; Eurotiales. The record is from RNAcentral.